UGGGGAAUCUUGCACAAUGGGGGCAACCCUGAUGCAGCGACGCCGCGUGAGCGAUGAAGCCCUUCGGGGCGUAAAGCUCUUUCGACCGGAACGAUAAUGACGGUACCGGGAGAAGAAGCUGCGGCUAACUACGUGCCAGCAGCCGCGGUAAUGCGUAGGCAGCAAGCGUUGUUCGGAGUUACUGGGCGUACAGAGUGCGUAGGCGGUUUUCUAAGUUCGGUGUGAAAUCUCCCGGCUUAACUGGGAGGGUGCGCCGAAGACUGGGAAGCUGGAGUGUGGGAAAGGCAGGCGGAAUUCCUGGUGUAGCGGUGAAAUGCGUAGAUAUCAGGAGGAACACCGGCGGUGUAGACGGCUUGCUAGACCAUAACUGACGCUGAGGCACGAAAGCGUGGGUAGCAAACA
This 402-nucleotide ribosomal RNA is filed under the name uncultured bacterium. Its description in RNAcentral is "bacterial SSU rRNA". It matches the Rfam family "Bacterial small subunit ribosomal RNA", at positions 355 to 774 of the family's 1533-position model. The record is from RNAcentral.